AGGUCAUUACAAAGAAAGCUUGUGGGGCUGUGAAACGAGGGGCUUUUAAUGCAGUGACCAAAGAUUGAUAUUCUCCAUGGGAAGGUACAGUCAUGAUCAUGACAUAAUUCAUGACUGGUGCUGUGGGAAGGUAAAUAA
Small nucleolar RNA from Cebus imitator (Panamanian white-faced capuchin), 138 nucleotides. NCBI's taxonomy places the organism in Eukaryota, Metazoa, Chordata, Mammalia, Primates, Cebidae. The record is from Ensembl.